Molecule: ribosomal RNA, 920 nt
Filed under: uncultured bacterium
Lineage: Bacteria
Description: bacterial SSU rRNA
Rfam family: Bacterial small subunit ribosomal RNA
Source: RNAcentral
UAGAGUUUGAUCCUGGCUCAGGAUGAACGCUGGCGGCGUGCUUAAUACAUGCAAGUCGAACGAAGCACCUUGGACAGAAUCCUUCGGGAGGAAGACCAUUGUGACUGAGUGGCGGACGGGUGAGUAACGCGUGGGUAACCUGCCUUGUACAGGGGGAUAACAGUUGGAAACGACUGCUAAUACCGCAUAAGCGCACAGUACCGCAUGGUACGGUGUGAAAAACUCCGGUGGUACAAGAUGGACCCGCGUCUGAUUAGCUAGUUGGUGAGGUAACGGCCCACCAAGGCGACGAUCAGUAGCCGACUUGAGAGAGUGAUCGGCCACAUUGGGACUGAGACACGGCCCAAACUCCUACGGGAGGCAGCAGUAGGGAAUAUUGCACAAUGGGGGAAACCCUGAUGCAGCGACGCCGCGUGAAGGAAGAAGUAUUUCGGUAUGUAAACUUCUAUCAGCAAGGAAGAAAAUGACGGUACUUGACUAAGAAGCCCCGGCUAAAUACGUGCCAGCAGCCGCGGUAAUACGUAUGGGGCAAGCGUUAUCCGGAUUUACUGGGUGUAAAGGGAGCGUAGGCGGCAUGGCAAGUCAGAAGUGAAAGCCUGGGGCUCAACCCCGGAAUUGCUUUUGAAACUGUCAGGCUAGAGUGCCGGAGAGGUAAGCGGAAUUCCUAGUGUAGCGGUGAAAUGCGUAGAUAUUAGGAGGAACACCAGUGGCGAAAGGCGGCUUACUGGACGGUAACUGACGUUGAGGCUCGAAAGCGUGGGGAGCAAACAGGAUUAGAUACCCUGGUAGUCCACGCGGUAAACGAUGAAUGCUAGGUGUCGGGGAGCAAAGCUCUUCGGUGCCGCCGCAAACGCAUUAAGUAUUCCACCUGGGGAGUACGUUCGCAAGAAUGAAACUCAAAGGAAUUGACGGAAGGGCGA